UGUAGGGUAGAGCAAAGGUAGCUCGGCAGUCUCAUAAGCUGCGUCAUGUGCAGGUUCGACUCCUGUCCCUACAA
Molecule: transfer RNA, 74 nt
Filed under: Bdellovibrionales bacterium
Lineage: Bacteria; Pseudomonadati; Bdellovibrionota; Bdellovibrionia; Bdellovibrionales
Description: tRNA-Met
Rfam family: tRNA
About the family: Transfer RNA (tRNA) molecules are approximately 80 nucleotides in length. Their secondary structure includes four short double-helical elements and three loops (D, anti-codon, and T loops).
Source: RNAcentral